This 2250-nucleotide unclassified non-coding RNA is filed under the name Leishmania donovani. RNAcentral's name for it is "gene:LdHU3.30.1740(CDS-product:U3_small_nuclear_r ibonucleoprotein_(snRNP)_putative)". The record is from RNAcentral. Lineage: Eukaryota; Euglenozoa; Kinetoplastea; Trypanosomatida; Trypanosomatidae.
GAUACCUGGUACGCCUGUGUGUGUGUGUGUGCACUGUGCAGACUGAGCCGCUGCCCGACGGUAGGUUUCACCCAACGAAAAAGACAAAACAGACAGAACACUACACGGCCGUGAAGCUGCGAAACAAAAAUAAAUAAAGAAUCGGUAACGAAGAGGGCGCUGCGCACCAUCGUUGGCAGCCGUCAUCAUGCGCCGUAGCGUCAUUCGUACGCGCAAGGAGUUCCUCGAGCGCAAGCAGCACGAGCGCGUCCAUGAGGCGAUCCACGCACGCAAGGAGCAAUUCCGCAGUGCGGUGGAGACGGCCACCCCGCUGCCUGGGCACCUCAAGAAGGACGCGCUGGCGCUGAAGAAGUUCACUGAACUCGAUGACGCGCAAACCCGCAACCUGACGACGACGGUGGAUGACGAAUACGCCAACGCCGGCCAGGAGGACCCGCACGUGCUCGUCACGACGUCCCGCAACGCGUCGCAGAAGCUGCUGGAGUUUGCGAAGGAGGUGCGGCUCAUCGUGCCGAAUGCCGUGCGCAUGAAUCGCGGUAACCUCAGUGUGCAUCAGCUCAUGGACGCGGCCCGGAAGGAGAACUACACAGAUGUGUUGGUGCUGCAGGAGUCGCAGGGUGUACCGGAUAGUUUGACUGUCUCUCACCUCCCCCUAGGCCCCACCGUGACCUUCACCAUUCACAACCUUGUAGCACGCCACGACAUUGAGGGCGUGGGCACCAUGUCAGAGCAGUAUCCGCAUCUCAUCUUCGAGAACUUCUCCACUAAGCUCGGUAUCCGCAUAAAGGACGUGCUGCGCUACCUCUUCCCCGUGCCCAAGGCGGACGCAUCCCGCGUGCUGACCUUUGACAACGAGAACGACUUUAUUAGCUUCCGUCACCACACCUUCAAGAAGGAAAAAGGCAAGAAGCAGGUGGAGCUGACGGAGGUGGGGCCGCGGUUUGAACUGACCCCGUACCGCAUCGUGCUUGGCACACUCGAGAUGGACGAUGCAGAGACGGAAUGGGUGCUGCAGCCGUACAUGAACACCGCGAAGAAGCGCCGGCUCUUGUAGGCGGGGCACCCUGCAGGUGCGUCAUGAUGAUGAUGGUCGCAUUUAGGUGGCACGGCGGGAGCGGUGAGGGUGGGCGGGAGAUGCUGCAUGUGCCGUCUUCUUUCCAUUCCGCCGAUAAUACGCUUAUCUGCUUGUGUGGACGCUUCUGGGAUUUAUUGCUGCUGCGGUGAUGGCCGAGCUGCCGCUGCGUAAAUUGCCUCGGACAUCGUGUGCGUGUUCUCUCUGUCAGUCUCUCUAUGCGUCAUCUCUUGAGCCCGUCUGCACGCGCGCGAGGCGGGGGAGAGGCGCAGCGCACACGCUCGGGAGUGACGAUGUCACCACCGUUUCCGGCCUUGUCGCGCUCUUGGUAACUUCCUCUUUCGUCAGCUCCCUCCUUGUAAUUCAUGCCUGCUUCCGGAAAGCGGUGUUCUGCGUGCCUGCCUAUGUGUUUGCAUCCUUUGGUCUAGUGAUAGCUGAUCUUCGUUGUACUUUCUUACGCCUCCUUCUCUAACAAACAAACAAACAAACGAAGCCUCGCUUAACACUUCCACUCGCUUGGACGGGUAACGACUGUGCGCGCCUCUUCGUCCUUUCCUUUCUCGCUAUCUCUGUGUCUCUUGUGACCUCUUCUCUCCUACAUCGGCAGCUGCGCUUCCGCGGCGUCGGACCGCUUCACUUGAAGCCUUCUAAUCCUCCCGAACAUCACCUCCUCCGCCGACUCUCCCGCUCGGCGCAUUCGCACCUCCUCUGUGUAGAAGGAGCUCGAUCCGCGAUCAGGUUUCCCGUAACCAAGGCGCAACGCACACGUGGCCACUGCGCGAGCUCAAGCGUGCGCGGCACGGAGGGGAAGUGUCGGGUGGUGGCGGUGGUGGGUGUGGAGGAGCAGGAUAGAUGUCGGCUGUCGAAAAACGGCUAGAAGAACGCUGCGGAUGUGCGAGUGGGAUGGAGGGAGUGUGUGCUGUGCGGUAGAGCACGACGGAGAGGAGGAGGAGGAGGAGAGGGGGCGGCGAGAGACGCGUGCCGGACAUAAGAAGAAAUACCUUCUCAUUAAGAAAACGCAGCCACAUGACACGGAAAACGAAGCGAUGCACUUCUAAAAAGGCCUCGCUCGGCGAUGGAUCACCACCUACACGUGCGCCGUUUUGGCACACUUGCACGCGCACUUUACACCCGUGUCAUGUCCCGGGGCGCGGUUAUCGUGGGAAGGAGCAACUGCG